GUUAAACUAUAUUUAAGAAAUUUACCAGUAACUUGGUUUCUCAGUAAUAGGUUCUGAAUCAGACUGAGAACAAUGCACUUGAAUUAGUUAUUAGAAAAACAGUAUAAAAAUUGGAUGGCUUUCUAAUAUAGUAAAAUAUCAAAUGAGCAGUGAGAGUUUAAAGCUUGCCUAAGAAAAUACCUAAAGAAACAAAAUAGCCAUUUGGUUAAAAACAACAAGUAGACUUCAUACUUUAAAACGGUAUUUAAUUGUUUGAUACUAACUCCUAUUCGAAAAUGUUUUAUCCCAAACGAGAAUUUUAAAAAGGGUCUCAGCCAUACUCAAAAGUUAAUUUCUGUCACUAGAAAGAAGGCAGUUUGAAACGUGUUUUCCCUCCAUAAAAUAUUGUUAGGUUCCUUUCAUGAUCGGUCACUUUGUAUUUCACCAAGAACCAAAGACUAAAUUGUUCUUCCCAUUUAAUCAAUAGCUUUUAUUGCUGGCAUCAACGACCCCACUUAUGACUUUAAGCUGCCUAAUUUUUCUGCUACCCUGUUCCAUUAAAAAAUAAAAAUCGUGAUUCUCG
RNAcentral lists this long non-coding RNA (562 nucleotides) under Bos taurus (domestic cattle). RNAcentral's name for it is "long non-coding RNA NONBTAT023974". The record is from RNAcentral. Lineage: Eukaryota; Metazoa; Chordata; Mammalia; Artiodactyla; Bovidae.